This 324-nucleotide ribosomal RNA is filed under the name uncultured bacterium. RNAcentral's name for it is "bacterial SSU rRNA". It matches the Rfam family "Bacterial small subunit ribosomal RNA", at positions 28 to 334 of the family's 1533-position model. The record is from RNAcentral.
GAUGAACGCUGGCGGCGUGCUUAAUACAUGCAAGUCGAGCGAAGCACUUUAACGGAAUUCUUCGGAAGGAAGGUAAAGUGACUGAGCGGCGGACGGGUGAGUAACGCGUGGGUAACCUGCCUUAUACAGGGGGAUAACAGUUAGAAAUGGCUGCUAAUACCGCAUAAGCGCACAGCAUCGCAUGAUGCAGUGUGAAAAACUCCGGUGGUGUGAGAUGGACCCGCGUUGGAUUAGCUAGUUGGCAGGGCAGCGGCCUACCAAGGCGACGAUCCAUAGCCGGCCUGAGAGGGUGAACGGCCACAUUGGGACUGAGACACGGCCCAG